This 64-nucleotide transfer RNA is filed under the name Anolis cybotes (large-headed anole). RNAcentral describes it as "tRNA-Cys". Lineage: Eukaryota; Metazoa; Chordata; Lepidosauria; Squamata; Anolidae. The record is from RNAcentral.
AGCCCCGGAGCCUUUUAGGGCUCUUCUUUAAACUUGCAUUUUAAUGUGAAACACUUCGGGACUU